UCAAACCAGACAAUGUAUGAACAUCCAAAUCCUUUGUUAAACUUUAUCAAUAAUUCAGCUUUAAAAUAAUAUGUUACCUGAAGACAAAGACAACUUCACUACCAAAGAUUCAGUUUAUAACAAACUAGUGGUGUUAAUCCCCUAAUGCAUAACCUAUUUUCUUUUAUCCAAAUCAGACCUACAACAAAAACCACUUGGACAGGGUACAAUGUUACUGUGGCCCAAGUGCAAAGUGCUCUCUCUUUUGAGAUAAAUCCCACAAGACACGUCUACCCAUUUCUCAAUAAGAAAUCUUUCCAUUUAUGUGUAGAUGGAAGUGUAACAAAGAAAUGUGGAGACAGCAGGCAAUUGAUGCAAAGAUGGUAAGAUAUCACUAUUUUUUCCAAAACAAAAGCUCUAUCAAUGCAGAUCUGAGCCCAGAGGCAAAAUGAAAACCACAACCUGCUUGAAGUCCUCUGCCAACACACAAUAACCAGAGAAAAUACUAAAUGAAGUAACCAGUCAGAAAGCAAAAACUGCAACUCAUUAAAAUCCAGAUGAAACUGACCAACUGGUUUAAAAGCAGCCAAGAGAAAGUCUGCAGAUUCUGGAAAUCCAAAUCAACACAUACAAAAUACUGGAGGAACUCAGCAGGCCAAGCAACAUCUAUGGAAGAGAGUACAGUCAAUGUUUCAGGCAGAAACCAUUCAUCUGGCCAUUCAGUACCAAUAAUGUAAUUCUUCAUGACCAAGGUUCAACUGCACACCAUCAAGACAAAAGUAUUUUCCUAUGAUCGUGUGAUCAAAUACAAAUGACAACUGUGCAGAUAAGGCUACAAGCAACACUGACACUGCCUAUAAUGCGUAAGAUUCAAUAGAAAUGGCCUAACCACACUCCAACAAUAUAGCCAAAUGACCUUUAAAAGAUUCACAGUGCAUUGCUGAUUCUGCCAAAGCUAGCAUUCUGUUUUGAUUCCCAUGUGUCUGUGAAAUUAUGGUAGUAGAUUGUAGAAUACUUCCACUAAGCCUGAACUUUUCUGAAUGCAUUUUUAAGUGAAGAUUUCUAGGAGUUGGGCCUGUUGAUAAUGAAAAGUUCCUGGGGCAGAGGAGAAGGUGUUUUGGAAGGAAUGAUGGAGAUCAUGAUGAUCUCUUGCACAAGCUGGUUGUAUCUUUCUUGGUGAUGGGAAUUACGGAUCUAGGUAGUACCACCAAAAAUGCCUUGCCAACUGCUGCAAAGUACUGAUUUUCAAUACUGAAGUUAUCAAAAAUAAUUCAGGUUUUGGAAAUCUGAAAUAAAAAGCAUACUGGAAUACAAUGCAUGAAAAGAGUUCACUCUUUGGGUCAAGCAGGAGGAAGAAAGAGAGAAGGAUAAAUGAUGAAUACCUCUGGUGGUAUGCCACAAAGAGCAACAUGCACAAAUAUAGAGUUUUCAAACACAGUAAAAAGUCCCACAAAGUGAGUUGAAUCAAAAUUUGCCAGCAAGCCAUUAAAAAAAUCAUUUGGUCAUGACUAGAAAGGUUAGUCAAAGAAAUAGGUUUCAAGGAUGUGGAACAUUAA
Molecule: long non-coding RNA, 1535 nt
Organism: Hypanus sabinus (Atlantic stingray)
Lineage: Eukaryota; Metazoa; Chordata; Chondrichthyes; Myliobatiformes; Dasyatidae
Exons: 3
Source: RefSeq, a predicted model, not a curated record